Molecule: long non-coding RNA, 3143 nt
Organism: Dermochelys coriacea (leatherback sea turtle)
Lineage: Eukaryota; Metazoa; Chordata; Testudines; Dermochelyidae
Exons: 4
Source: RefSeq, a predicted model, not a curated record
CACUGGCUGGCAAGGAGCAGAGGCAUUAUUAGCACUGACCCCCCACCGCGCCCCAUCAGCCAGACCAGAAGCAGCAGUGGCAUCCUGGGAUCCUGUCCGUUGGUGAGACACUGCCUUCCCACCAGCCUGCCCCUAACCCCACUGUCUGGGACAGGGCUGACAGCUUCCACCUCCUCGCUGUUGGAAGAAUCACAGCAGUUUGGGGAGAGGAACGGGGGAGACUCGGCAGCUGUGCAGAUCCCAUGGAAUUCAAACAUUUGCCUGGGACACUACCGUGCAUUAACUAUUUGUCAUAGGGCCUGUAAUGCUAACAGCUAAUGCUCAAGUAGCAGCUUCUGGAAUUCUGGACAGUGGAACCAGGGCUUUCAUACUAACCAGGGCAAAUCCAUAACAGAAUUUUAUGAUCUAGUGAAAAUGCCUCAGCUUGGCCUGCACUAAUGUCUGCACUGCUGCUGCCAUCAAUUAUGGCUUGUCAGUGGUGGGAAUUGCCAAAAUGAGUGUACGGGAGGCCCCCCUCCUGCAAAGACUUAUGCCCCUGCUUAACUUUACACUUCCUUAGAACUCUUCAUAGCACAUAAAGUUAUGCAGGUGCAUGAGCCCUGCAGGAUCAGGCCCUAUCUUUGCUAACCCCCUGUAAACCAGCCCUAGAAAGCCUAUCCUGGCCAGAAACAAAAGUGAAACCGACCGGUUUCCUGAUCCAAGUGGGCUGAAGAACCUGGCAGCAUUAAGGGUGAACAGAUCCGUUUGAUUUUAAAAAUCCGCUUUUGUUUGCAUAAACUGUUAUUAGGGAAAAAGGGGAGACUUGUUCUGACUUUGUAAUGUUUGUCACCUGGCAAUCUCCCGUGUUUUAUGAAGGCAGAUGUGGGCCUCUACACACAUGUAGAGAGGAAAAGGACCAGAGGAAAAAUUCUUCCAGUGCAAGCGUACAGUACAGCCAAAACUGACAAGAGCAGGGGAGAAAAGGGGGGACAAUUGUACUGUGGCCCUGAGCUCAGGCCCCCCCCCAUUGUUUAUAACUGGGCUGUAAUAGGGGUGGGGCCCCAGCAAACAUGAUGUACCUGGGGCCCUAAAUUUUAAUCUCAAUAGGCCUGCGCAGAGCCACCAUAAGCAGCCCUGCGCUGUCCCCUCCCUCCAAGACUCGGCAUAGGAAGUGUCCUGGAGAAGAGGGCAGGACUAGGGGCAGGUCUGGGCAUGAGAGGAGGAGCUGCUCUAAUUUACACUGGAGAUUAUUUUGUUGACCCGAACCCAGAUGCUGAAUGGCCCAAGUGUGACGUCAAACCAUUUCUGCCCCGCUCCUGGCAUAGCACAGAAUGGGAUCCACUUCGGAUGAACUCGAAAGCUCUUGAACGCCUGGCUCACCUGAAAUCAGCUGCUGUGAUCGAAUACCUCCCCUCAGUCCCGUUGGAUACGACAUCCUCUUCCUUCUUGUUUCUUAUGGUGACCACUGACUCCAUAUUUUCCCUAACAAAAGAAGCACAUUUGAAAGAAUUUAAGAUAAAACCAUGGAAGGACCAUUGGCUGCAUUGUAUUUCUGCCUCUUUGGCUGACACACAAGUGAGCAACAGACUUCAGCUCAAAUGAUUUCACACUCUGUAAAGCUCAGGUAUCAUUUGAACAAUAACCCGAAGCUUUCAUACUACUUAUCAAGCCAUUAAGAGAGAGAAAAGGGGGGGGGUGGCAAUAUCUUUGAGUGGAACACGCUUUCAAGCUUCACAGAGCUCUUCCUCAGGUCUGGAGAAGGUAACCAGAGCAUCCAAGAGGUAAAUACAAGGCUGGGACAACAACACCAGGAUUGCCUCUCUCAUGGCAUUUCAUUUCUUCCUCUGCCAGCUGCAACCCAGAAUUGCAAAGAUGCCGGAGAAUAAAGUGGUUUGAUGUGGGAGUGAUGAUCCCAGAUGGCUGCUGGGGAUCUUGAUAGAACAGAAGAGACUCUGCCUCAAAUGGUGUCUUGGAGUCUGCCUCUGAGAAGGUGUGUUUGUGUUUGUCCGUGUCCCAAGCUGAUGAUGGCAAUUGGAUAGACUGUUCUGGGUCAGCCUAUCAUACAGCUAGACUUGAGCCAAAGAAGUUUAGACCUGGAGCCAGAUCCAGCACUGUGCCCUCCCCUAAGGGAGGUUUGGAUCUACUGCGCUGACUCCGGUCCAUUGAAGGCUUUGAUCACUUGAAAGGGUUGCUGCUCAGAGGAACUUGACUGUCUGGUGGUGCGUAUGUGGAAGUCCAGGCUCAUCCUUCCCAGGUCUGCUGCCUGUUCCCACCCUGCUCGUUCUCCCUCACCCCAAAAGCCUUUCCUGGGAGCCCAAUGCCCCUCCCUAAACCAAAAGUAUCCUUCACAUGCCCUUGAUGUCCCACCAAAGCUGUCCCUCUGCUAAGACAGACCCUGCUAAGGCUGUCUUGUCUUUUCCAUUUUGAAAACCUAGUGGAAAUGCUUCCGAGGGCUUCCGCCCAGCACUUGACUUUACCAGAAGCCCAGCCAGUGGGCCAGUUUCUCUUGCCAGCCGAUAAGUUUUCCCUCCUGGGCAUCUCAUUUAUUCUGAAGGCUGGGAUAGCCACAGUCCCUCCGAGAAAUGAGGUGGUGUAGCAUGGGCUUCCAGAUCAAGAUGGGAUUCACUCCAGCAUCACUGGAGGGAAUGUGCCAAUACAAGCAUGCAGUAAGGGCAAAAAUGCAAAGCCAUAGACAGCAGAAAUCCAGAGACAAUCAAGCAUGUGUCACUACUGAGCAUUCUGUUGCUACUGUUUCCGACAGCAUCUGAUGUAAGUUAUUUAGGACACAUGGCUCCUAAGACAGCUUCUAAAUUUGCAGUGAGAGUCCCCAGCGGGGGUUGAACCCAGCACCUUUAACUCAGACCGCUACUACUUCAAGUACCACCACUGUUAGAUCUGUCCUUUUAUCCACUAUACAGUCCCCUCAGCUGGAGGGGAAAAACACACUGUAGGAGCAGGUUCUGUCUGCACCCAGAAUUUGGGAGCAUGCAAAAUCACCCACUGUUGCUUGUUGAAGCCCUGUGAUUACACAUCUCAUCAUCUGAUCAGCACCCACAGUUGCAAUGUGUACAUGAAAAAGCAGGGAUUUGCCUGGGCAAAAUUGCAGGCACAACUGUAAAGGCUCGGUUGAAAAAAAACUUGGCUCCUUGAGUCUGCAUUUGAAC